Molecule: non-coding RNA, 45 nt
Filed under: Schistosoma curassoni
Lineage: Eukaryota; Metazoa; Platyhelminthes; Trematoda; Strigeidida; Schistosomatidae
Source: RNAcentral
AUCCAGCUGACAUGUCCCAAUUAGAGCGAGACGUGCGUCCUGGAU